AAAGGGGCAGAGAUGGCGAAGUUGGACGGUCUGGAAAGCAGAGACCAGCGGGGCUGACUGCUUGGGAGCACCAAGUCUCGGGACAGUGCCUCUCGGUGGGGGGGGGGGGCACUGAGAAGAGAACAACUACCUGUUUCAGCACCGGGGCUCAGGACAGCUCCCAGUGGGCUCCGUUUAGGCGCCAGGACCCUGGACAGCUCCUCCAGCCUCACGGUUUUUGGCUUUGUUGUUCCCGCGGCUUGGAAUGCACUCCCCCCACCUCCACCCAGAGACCCCUGCAACUGAGCCUGCCUUCUUCUGCAAGCUCCAUUUCAUCAAGGGAAACAAUCCUGAUUGCCUCAUCAUUUCCCAUGUGAAGUCUGUACUGACAUUCUCAGAGACCUGGGAUAUUGUGUCUCCAGCACAUAGUCCAAUUAUUUUCAAGUUAUCUAGUGAUAUGUCUAUUUGUCUCCCUGUUACCCUGUGAGCUCCAUGAGGGCAGAAACAAUGUUUGUAUUUUCACGGCUGCAUCCCCAGUGCCUGGUCCAGGGCCCAGCACACCGCAGGCAUACCAUAUACCAUAUCAUAAUCAAUAAAGCCACCAAAGAAUAAA
Molecule: non-coding RNA, 592 nt
Organism: Saimiri boliviensis boliviensis (Bolivian squirrel monkey)
Lineage: Eukaryota; Metazoa; Chordata; Mammalia; Primates; Cebidae
Source: RefSeq, a predicted model, not a curated record